This is a long non-coding RNA of Eubalaena glacialis (North Atlantic right whale), 348 nucleotides long. RefSeq lists it as uncharacterized. The record is from RefSeq and is a predicted model, not a curated record. The transcript has 3 exons. NCBI's taxonomy places the organism in Eukaryota, Metazoa, Chordata, Mammalia, Artiodactyla, Balaenidae.
AGGAAACUGAGGCACCAAGAGGUUAAGCAUUUGUGCCCAAGGAUACAGUUACCAAGCAAUGGAACCGUAUUUGAACCUAUGCCCAAAGCUGAAAGAUCAUUCUCUGAACCAUUAUGCUACGUGAUUCUCACAGUGACAGGUGCAUUAUGAGUCCUCAACAAAUAUUUGUUGCCAGAAUGAAUGAAGGAGCCAUCAAAAGAUAAAAGGGUGUCCUAAAGUCCUGAAAGUAAAAUCAGGAUCAGGAUCUCAUUAUGAAACUUCUUCACUGAUGAUUUGCUACCAGAAUUUUCGGGCUUCCCUGGUGGCGCAGUGGUUGAAAGUCUGCCUGCUAAUGCAGGGGACACGGGU